UACGUAGGCAGCGAGCGUUGUUCGGAGUUACUGGGCGUAAAGGGUGUGUAGGCGGUUCUUUAAGUUUGGUGUGAAAUCUCCCGGCUCAACUGGGAGGGUGCGCCGAAUACUGAAUGACUAGAGUGCGGGAGAGGAGAGUGGAAUUCCUGGUGUAGCGGUGAAAUGCGUAGAUAUCAGGGGGAACACCGGUGGUGUAGACGGCUCUCUGGACCGUAACUGACGCUGAGGCACGAAAGCGUGGGUAGCAAACAGG
This 253-nucleotide ribosomal RNA is filed under the name uncultured bacterium. RNAcentral describes it as "partial 16S ribosomal RNA". It matches the Rfam family "Bacterial small subunit ribosomal RNA", at positions 524 to 776 of the family's 1533-position model. The record is from RNAcentral.